GCUUGUCUCAAAGAUUAAGCCAUGCAUGUCUAAGUAUAAAUAAUUCUAUACUGUGAAACUGCGAAUGGCUCAUUAUAUCAGUUAUAGUUUAUUUGAUAGUCCCUUACUACUUGGAUAACCGUAGUAACUCUAGAGCUAAUACAUGCGCAAAUUCCCGACUGCCGCAAGGCGGAAAGGAUGUAUUUAUUAGAUCCAACCAGCCCGGUUCGCCGGAGUCCCUGGUGAGUCAUAAUAACUGAUCGAAUCGCAAGGCCUUUGGCCGCGAUAAGUCAUUCAAGUUUCUGCCCCAUCAGCUUUCGAUGGUAGUGUAUUGGACUACCAUGGCGUUCACGGGUAACGGAGAAUUAGGGUUCGAUUCCGGAGAGGGAGCCUGAGAAACGGCUACCACAUCUAAGGAAGGCAGCAGG
RNAcentral lists this ribosomal RNA (407 nucleotides) under uncultured Bicosoecida. Its description in RNAcentral is "partial small subunit ribosomal RNA". It matches the Rfam family "Eukaryotic small subunit ribosomal RNA", at positions 30 to 432 of the family's 1831-position model. The record is from RNAcentral. Lineage: Eukaryota; Bigyra; Bicosoecida.